GACGAACGCUGGCGGCGUGCUUAACACAUGCAAGUCGAACGGAAAGGCCUCUUUCGGGGGGUACUCGAGUGGCGAACGGGUGAGUAACACGUGAGUAACCUGCCCUUGACUUUGGGAUAACUUCAGGAAACUGGGGCUAAUACCGGAUAGGAGCUCCUGCUGCAUGGUGGGGGUUGGAAAGUUUCGGCGGUUGGGGAUGGACUCGCGGCUUAUCAGCUUGUUGGUGGGGUAGUGGCUUACCAAGGCUUUGACGGGUUGCCGGCCUGAGAGGGUGACCGGCCACAUUGGGACUGAGAUACGGCCCAGACUCCUACGGGAGGCAGCAGUGGGGAAUAUUGCACAAUGGGUGGAAGCCUGAUGCAGCAACGCCGUGUGCGGGAUGACGGCCUUCGGGUUGUAAACCGCUUUCGCUCAUGACGAAGCUUUGUGUGACGGUAGUGGGUAAAGAAGCACCGGCUAACUACGU
Molecule: ribosomal RNA, 466 nt
Filed under: uncultured bacterium
Lineage: Bacteria
Description: partial 16S ribosomal RNA
Rfam family: Bacterial small subunit ribosomal RNA
Source: RNAcentral